RNAcentral lists this ribosomal RNA (440 nucleotides) under uncultured Anaerolineae bacterium. Its description in RNAcentral is "partial 16S ribosomal RNA". It matches the Rfam family "Bacterial small subunit ribosomal RNA", at positions 338 to 794 of the family's 1533-position model. Lineage: Bacteria; Bacillati; Chloroflexota; Anaerolineae. The record is from RNAcentral.
CCUACGGGAGGCAGCAGUGAGGGAUAUUGCGCAAUGGGCGAAAGCCUGACGCAGCGACGCCGCGUGGGCGAGGAAGGCCUUCGGGUUGUAAAGCCCUUUUGGCAGGGAAGAGCAAGGACUGUACCUGCAGAACAAGUCACGGCUAACUACGUGCCAGCAGCCGCGGUAAAACGUAGGUGGCGAGCGUUAUCCGGAAUCACUGGGCGUAAAGGGCGUCUAGGCGGACGGGUAAGUCGUGCGUGAAAGCUUCCGGCUCAACCGGGAGAGGUCGUACGAUACUGCCUGUCUUGAGGGUCGGAGAGGGACGUGGAAUUCCCGGUGUAGCGGUGAAAUGCGUAGAAAUCGGGAGGAAGGCCGGUGGCGAAGGCGGCCCUCUGGCGCUUGACUGACGCUGAGGCGCGAAAGCGUGGGGAGCAAACAGGAUUAGAUCCCCUUGUAGU